This 516-nucleotide ribosomal RNA is filed under the name uncultured bacterium. RNAcentral describes it as "partial 16S ribosomal RNA". It matches the Rfam family "Bacterial small subunit ribosomal RNA", at positions 29 to 523 of the family's 1533-position model. The record is from RNAcentral.
AAUGAACGCUGGCGGCGUGCCUAAUACAUGCAAGUCGAACGCAUUGAGAAAAGUGCCUGCACUUUUCAAUUUCAGUGGCGAACGGGUGAGUAACACGUGGGCAACCUACCUGAUAGCGGGGGAUAACGAGUGGAAACAUUCGCUAAUACCGCAUAACAAUAGAGAAGGCAUCUUCUUUAUUUAAAAGGCGCUUUCAAGCGUCACUAUCAGAUGGGCCCGCGGUGCAUUAGUUAGUUGGUGGGGUGAAGGCCUACCAAGACGAUGAUGCAUAGCCGAGUUGAGAGACUGAUCGGCCACAUUGGGACUGAGACACGGCCCAAACUCCUACGGGAGGCUGCAGUAGGGAAUCUUCCACAAUGGACGAAAGUCUGAUGGAGCAACGCCGCGUGUGUGAUGAAGGCUUUCGGGUCGUAAAGCACUGUUGUAUGGGAAGAAAUGCUAGGCUAGGAAAUGAGCUUAGUUUGACGGUACCAUACCAGAAAGGGACGGCUAAAUACGUGCCAGCCGCCGCGGUAA